This 777-nucleotide ribosomal RNA is filed under the name uncultured Neocallimastigales. RNAcentral's name for it is "partial large subunit ribosomal RNA". It matches the Rfam family "Eukaryotic large subunit ribosomal RNA", at positions 22 to 637 of the family's 3401-position model. The record is from RNAcentral. Lineage: Eukaryota; Fungi; Neocallimastigomycota; Neocallimastigomycetes; Neocallimastigales.
CUAUACAUGACUCUGCGCAUAUCAAUAAGCGGAGGAAAAGAAACUAACAAGGAUUCCCCUUAGUAACGGCGAGUGAAGCGGGAAGAGCUCAAAUUUGAAAUCUUAAAGGGUUUCCCUUUACGAAUUGUAGUUUAAAGAAGUGUUUUCUGUUGAGGUUUUGGUAAAAGUUCUUUGGAAUAGGACAUCAUAGAGGGUGAGAAUCCCGUAUUUGACCAUUACUUUUCAGCUUUGUGAUACACUUUCAAAGAGUCGGAUUGUUUGGGAAUGCAGUCCAAAAUGGGUGGUAAAUUUCAUCUAAAGCUAAAUAUUGGCGAGAGACCGAUAGCGAACAAGUACCGUGAGGGAAAGAUGAAAAGAACUUUGAAAAGAGAGUUAAACAGUACGUGAAAUUGUCAAAAGGGAAGCGUUUGACACCAGUGUUGUUUUUCUGAAAAUCAAUUAAAGAACUGUUUAUGCUAAGUUGUUUAGACUUUAUCAGCUAACUGUUUAGUUUUGAGCUUUUCUUUAAUGCACUUUUCAGUUAACAAGUCAACAUCAAUUUCUUUUGCUGUAAAAAAGCUUGAGGAAGGUGGCUUGAGAUUCGUCUUAAGUGUUUAUAGGCCUCUUGCCUCUGCAGUCGGAGAGACUGAGGUCUGCAGCGUAGAUCCUUCGGGGCUAAAUGCAUUUGUGCUAAGUUAUAGCAUUUUAUAGACAACUUGUUGACUAUGAUUUGUCUUGUAGCUUACUCGCUUAUGUUAUUUUACCUACGCUUAGGAUGUUGACAGCAGUAUAGACUGU